GUCUAUAGUCAUGCGACCCUGAUCACACGCAAUCCUGUCUGAUAUGGGAAGCUAAGCAGGAUUGGGCCUGGUUAGUACUUGGAUAGGAGACCACCUAGGAAGACCAGGCACUGUAGGUG
This is a ribosomal RNA of Pteropus vampyrus (large flying fox), 119 nucleotides long. Lineage: Eukaryota; Metazoa; Chordata; Mammalia; Chiroptera; Pteropodidae. The record is from Ensembl.